Long non-coding RNA from Corvus hawaiiensis (hawaiian crow), 101 nucleotides. RefSeq lists it as uncharacterized. The record is from RefSeq and is a predicted model, not a curated record. The transcript has 3 exons. NCBI's taxonomy places the organism in Eukaryota, Metazoa, Chordata, Aves, Passeriformes, Corvidae.
GUGCCCACCACUCGAAUGAGGGGACCUUUGGGCACUCUCACAAUGCGCCCUCUGCAGAAAGCUGGGCAGGAGAAUGAAGAUGAGGAGGAGCCGCAGACAGG